AGCAGCCGCAGUAAUUCCAGCUCCAAUAGCGUAUAUUAAAGUUGUUGCAGUUAAAAAGCUCGUAGUUGAAUUUCGGAAUCAGUACGCCAGUCAUGCUUCGGUAUGUACUAGUGUCACUGAUUCCUUCCUUCUGACGAACCGUCAUGCCAUUAAUUUAGUGUGAUGUGGAAUCAGGACUGUUACUUUAGAAAAAUUAGAGUGUUUAAAGAAGGCUCGCGCUUGAAUACAUUAGCAUGGAAUAAUGAAAUAGGACGUUUGAUCUUAUUUUGUUGGUUUCUAGGAUCGAUGUAAUGAUUAAUAGGGAUAGUUGGGGGCAUUAGUCUUCAAUUGUUCAGAAGUGAAAUUCUU
Molecule: ribosomal RNA, 348 nt
Filed under: uncultured Glomus
Lineage: Eukaryota; Fungi; Glomeromycota; Glomeromycetes; Glomerales; Glomeraceae
Description: bacterial SSU rRNA
Rfam family: Eukaryotic small subunit ribosomal RNA
Source: RNAcentral